UACGGGGGGGGCAAGCGUUGUUCGGAAUUACUGGGCGUAAAGGGCUCGUAGGUGGCCAACUAAGUCGGACGUGAAAUCCCUCGGCUUAACCGGGGAACUGCAUCCGAUACUGGAUGGCUUGAGUUCGGGAGAGGGGUGCGGAAUUCCAGGUGUAGCGGUGAAAUGCGUAGAUAUCUGGAGGAACACCGGUGGCGAAGGCGGCAUCCUGGACCGACACUGACGCUGAGGAGCGAAAGCCAGGGGAGCAAACGGG
Molecule: ribosomal RNA, 253 nt
Filed under: uncultured bacterium
Lineage: Bacteria
Description: partial 16S ribosomal RNA
Rfam family: Bacterial small subunit ribosomal RNA
Source: RNAcentral